GACGAACGCUGGCGGCGUGCUUAACACAUGCAAGUCGAACGGAAAGGCCCUGCUUUUGUGGGGUGCUCGAGUGGCGAACGGGUGAGUAACACGUGAGUAACCUGCCCUUGACUUUGGGAUAACUUCAGGAAACUGGGGCUAAUACCGGAUAGGAGCUCCUGCUGCAUGGUGGGGGUUGGAAAGUUUCGGCGGUUGGGGAUGGACUCGCGGCCUAUCAGCUUGUUGGUGGGGUAGUGGCUUACCAAGGCUUUGACGGGUAGCCGGCCUGAGAGGGUGACCGGCCACAUUGGGACUGAGAUACGGCCCAGACCCCUACGGGAGGCAGCAGUGGGGAAUAUUGCCCAAUGGGCGGAAGCCUGAUGCAGCAACGCCGCGUGCGGGAUGACGGCCUUCGGGUUGUAAACCGCUUUCGCCUGUGACGAAGCGUGAGUGAGGGUAAUGGGUAAAGAAGCACCGGCUAACUACGUG
RNAcentral lists this ribosomal RNA (468 nucleotides) under uncultured bacterium. Its description in RNAcentral is "partial 16S ribosomal RNA". It matches the Rfam family "Bacterial small subunit ribosomal RNA", at positions 28 to 507 of the family's 1533-position model. The record is from RNAcentral.